UGACAAAGUUUUAUGGCCUGAACAAAAAAAAACCUUUAGGAAGACCCAUGGUCCAGAGUUAACAGAAGAAAGAGAACAUUCAGAGUGGGGUGGGCUCCCCAGAGGACAAAGAGCCAAAGAAUGGAGAUGGAAGUGCUAAGGAAGCCCAAGAGGCAGUGGGAAUGGUUGAAGUUGGACGAUACCACAGCUACCAGAAAUGUAGAAAUGGCUCAAAAUGAUGCCUCUACGGAGCAUAAUUGGGGCUGCAGAGGGAGGACAGUGCCUUCUCAGGCCUAUGCAGCGAUGAAUCAGCCCAUGCCUGAUUCUAAACCAAGCUAAAGGCAAUAACAUUCUGGGAAUAAUUUUGGGUUCAAAUUCAACAUUUCAAAGAAAGGAUUAUUGGUAUGGUGCCAGUAUCCGCCACUAAUUUGCCGUCCCUCUAAAAAAACUCAUUAAGUGGCACGUGAACUCUGGGACACAUCAAUGAGAGAUUAAAAGGCGGGGCAAUCCAACGGCACCAUCAAACAGCCAAGAUGAGAGCUCCAUAUAGUAGCCAAAUCUAAUGGCUCAUCUGGGUAGCAAAGGACAAAAUCUAACAGCUUUUAGGUCGGAAAAGAUUGAUGGGUUUCUGCAAGCCAAGUGGAAGUCAGAGGCCCAAAAUUGCUUUGAAGAAGGUUUUGAUAGAGAUCAAUAGUAGAUAUUCUUCCUGACAAAUCCUCUUCUUUUUCUAGUUCUACCAGCCAUCCUCUCAACCACCACCAACCUGGGGGGUUGGGGUUGCGGUGGGGUGGGUGCAUACUCCAUUCUUCCAUCCAUCUUUCCUCUUUCCGUUAUGUUAUUACCUCAGGCUCGAAACUUCCCCUUCCCUUCUGUUAGAAGAGAAUUUUGCACUUUUCCCAACUAAAUUCACCUUAUAAAGAUCCUCUAAGACAAAAAUAAAUCUUCCGAACCACCUCUUAUCCCUAUGCUUUGAAACAAGGAAACCCUCCCUCUUUUUUGAUCCUGCCCAAAACUCAUUCAAUCAUUAUUCAUUGAGAGGUCAGAAAUAUAUCUCUCUUCAACAUAAAGAGAUUGAACAUUCAUUUGAUCUUGAUCCUUGUGGAGUGGAAAAGGCACUAUACUGGAUCUGCAUGGACUUCCUGAUAAUACCCAUAAAUGACCUGUUUUGGGUAAGAGAUAACAUUACCAUUUCCCAUUAAUAUAGGAACUUAUGUACCAUAACCUUCUCCCACUUUUGAAUUGUCGAAACGAGAACUCUAUGUGAGAGUAGAAGCUCCAGAAGGGGAAUUAAAGAUUUUUCUUAUGAUAUUAGUGUUUUUCCUUGGAGAUGGAAAGUUUGUCCACCUGGUCUUAUCAAUUUGCAAAUUCUUUCUCAGCUAUUUAAGAAUGAAAUUAGCUGAUAUCAGUACGAUACUAGUUAGUAUGGAUAUUAUUAUGGGAGAAAUUGAUUGUUGAAAUAAUAAUUGACAAGUCCUCUCAAACCUCAAUCCCCACAAGAGGCAGUUUGAUCUAAAAGGUUGUUGCUCAGUUUCCUCCUUUUCGGUGAUCCACCAACCCAUCCCCCAUCCUCGACUUUACAGGUAAUCAACCAUUUGGAUGUCGCCCCUCUUUAUUUUGCCAUGCUUAAAGAUCCCUCCAAAUCCUCAUCCAGUGAUCCCCCACGUGCUCCAAGGACAAUAUGCAAAUUUUGUGAGAUGUUUGAAGCUUUGGACAUCUAUAUGAUGCGCCUCUUGAUGCAAUUUUAGAGGUCUGUAGAGAAAAUGCGAGAAGAAUAAAGUUGGCAGAAGAGAAAUCAAACCAUCACAAGGAAAGAGGAUGCAAAGGCAAGGGUUGAGGUAACAGAGGGCCAGACAACCUUGUCUGUCUAACAAACCAUGACCAUUUCCUCAAAGAAACAAUGACUCGAAGUGCCCAUUUGUGCUGAAAACCGCCCAACCACCAGGCCAGCACGGGAGGGCACUCGUCAUGAAUAUCUUGUCUUGGAAUGUCCAGGGACUUGGGUACAUAGUGUGAGGUGAUGAACGGCAUCUGUAGAGAGAUUGGUGGCAGCCUAAAACCCCAAGAUCAGAGGCAAAAUCAAAAGUGUUACCUUUGGAGUGAUGGCAUGAAGAAUAUUUCCUCAUUUUGGAGUGAGGAAGAAUAUGAAAGCUGAAGAAUUAGAAGCUUCUCUAAUAUUGCAGAUAAUGACCACGUGGUUCUCCAUAAGUUGUGUGCUCUUCCAAGACAACAAGAGUUUGUCAGAGCAAGUAAAAGCAAUGAUCAAAGGAUGCAUGGUACCACACUAUAUGGCUUGAAAGACAACGCGCGGUGAUAUGAAAACUUGCUUCGACGGUAGCCCUUCUGGAGCUAGGGCACUCCGACGGUUGAUUACGUCGCUCUGGUGGUACAAAAACGCUCUCCGACGAUACAGACAUUCGCUCCGACAGUACACCUUCUGGAGCCACAGCGCUCCAGUAGUGUGGUAGUUGUCUCUGGUAGUAAACGAAUUUGCUCUGGCAUUACGUGAUCUUGCAUCGGCAGUACACCUUUUGAAGACAUUUCGCUUCGGCACUCUAUGAAUGCGCUUCGACAGUUGGGACGUUGGAGCCACAGCAUUUCGACAGUGCAUUAGGGCGCUCCGGCAGGGUUUUCAGUGCUCUGGUCGUUGAUGAAGGCGCUCUAGUGGUACACCUUCUAGAGCCACACGACAGUACCUAUUAUGAUAUGGUAAUCAUUACAAAGCGCUGCGGCAGUGUUAUUCUACGCUCCGGAAAUACGCAACUUAGGACUGCCAUUUGAAUUUUUUUGUAUGGGAAGGGAAUUUCCGUCCAAAACAUAACAACUUUUUACCUUGGGGGGUUUUUGCGAGGAAAAGUUGUUGUGGGGAAAAAAGUGAGAGGAAAAGUUGGCUAGGGGGUAAGUUGCGUAAAUAGUACAUUUGGGGGUUUUUUUUGUAAUUUUCCCUAAAUUAUAACCAUUUUGAGUUUAACUUGACCUUAUACUUCUUUUGAUUAUAUCUUGGUUGGUUUUGUAUAUAUGUAUGGAAAACAAAGACAUUAGUUGAUAGGUACUACAAGUUUGAAAGAGCUGAUUUUGAAUACCCUUUAAUAUAUGUACCUUCUUGUACUUGAGUGAGCUAUUAAA
Molecule: non-coding RNA, 3102 nt
Organism: Amborella trichopoda
Lineage: Eukaryota; Viridiplantae; Streptophyta; Magnoliopsida; Amborellales; Amborellaceae
Source: RefSeq, a predicted model, not a curated record